GACGAACGCUGGCGGCGUGCUUAACACAUGCAAGUCGAACGGAAAGGCCCUGCUUUUGUGGGGUGCUCGAGUGGCGAACGGGUGAGUAACACGUGAGCAACCUGCCCUUGACUUUGGGAUAACUUCGGGAAACUGGGGCUAAUACCGGAUAGGAGCUCCUGCUGCAUGGUGGGGGUUGGAAAGUUUCGGCGGUUGGGGAUGGACUCGCGGCUUAUCAGCUUGUUGGUGGGGUAGUGGCUUACCAAGGCUUUGACGGGUAGCCGGCCUGAGAGGGUGACCGGCCACAUUGGGACUGAGAUACGGCCCAGACUCCUACGGGAGGCAGCAGUGGGGAAUAUUGCACAAUGGGCGGAAGCCUGAUGCAGCAACGCCGCGUGCGGGAUGACGGCCUUCGGGUUGUAAACCGCUUUCGCCUGUGACGAAGCGUGAGUGACGGUAAUGGGUAAAGAAGCACCGGCUAACUACGUGCCAGCAGCCGCGGUGAUACGUAGGGUGCGAGCGUUGUCCGGAUUUAUUGGGCGUAAAGGGCUCGUAGGUGGUUGAUCGCGUCGGAAGUGUAAUCUUGGGGCUUAACCCUGAGCGUGCUUUCGAUACGGGUUGACUUGAGGAAGGUAGGGGAGAAUGGAAUUCCUGGUGGAGCGGUGGAAUGCGCAGAUAUCAGGAGGAACACCAGUGGCGAAGGCGGUUCUCUGGGCCUUUCCUGACGCUGAGGAGCGAAAGCGUGGGGAGCGAACAGGCUUAGAUACCCUGGUAGUCCACGCUGUAAACGGUGGGUACUAGGUGUGGGGUCCAUUCCACGGGUUCCGUGCCGUAGCUAACGCUUUAAGUACCCCGCCUGGGGAGUACGGCCGCAAGGCUAAAACUCAAAGGAAUUGACGGGGCCCCGCACAAGCGGCGGAGCAUGCGGAUUAAUUCGAUGCAACGCGUAGAACCUUACCUGGGUUUGACAUGGAUCGGGAGUGCUCAGAGAUGGGUGUGCCUCUUUUGGGGUCGGUUCACAGGUGGUGCAUGCCUGUCGUCAGCUCGUGUCGUGAGAUGUUGGGUUAAGUCCCGCAACGAGCGCAACCCUUGUUCACUGUUGCCAGCACGUUAUGGUGGGGACUCAGUGGAGACCGCCGGGGUCAACUCGGAGGAAGGUGGGGAUGACGUCAAGUCCUCAUGCCCCUUAUGUCCAGGGCUUCACGCAUGCUACAAUGGCUGGUACAGAGAGUGGCGAGCCUGUGAGGGUGAGCGAAUCUCGGAAAGCCGGUCUCAGUUCGGAUUGGGGUCUGCAACUCGACCUCAUGAAGUCGGAGUCGCUAGUAAUCGCAGAUCAGCAACGCUGCGGUGAAUACGUUCCCGGGGCU
Molecule: ribosomal RNA, 1346 nt
Filed under: uncultured bacterium
Lineage: Bacteria
Description: bacterial SSU rRNA
Rfam family: Bacterial small subunit ribosomal RNA
Source: RNAcentral